This is a long non-coding RNA of Xenopus laevis (African clawed frog), 519 nucleotides long. RefSeq lists it as uncharacterized. The transcript has 4 exons. The record is from RefSeq and is a predicted model, not a curated record. Lineage: Eukaryota; Metazoa; Chordata; Amphibia; Anura; Pipidae.
CAUUCUGGGCGGCGCCAUCUUACAGGAAGAGGAAGAGAGACCCAGCUACAGCGCGGAGGCAAGGACGCUCUGCAGUGAUUGCGGGAGACUCUAUGGUAGUGGGAGGUACCCCGUGAUGUUUUGUCCAAUAGGAAUGCAGAGCAGUGCUGAGGGACAGAACACCAGAGAAAUAUCAGCUGAAUCAUUCCUGUGUUCUGCCAUUGACCUGGCACUACUGGAUUCUUCUAGAACAUGCCGUCACCUUCUGCACAUCAGUGGCAAAUAGAACAAGCUGCCCUCGUGCCAAGCCCACCGCAGGAAUGUCAUGAUGGAAUGUGCCUGUGGGGGGAGAAUAUGCAGAGCCCUGGGUGCGGUGCCAUGGGGAGAGAACAGCAAUAAGGUGCUCUACGGCACCAACACAAUUUGGAGCGUCCACUUCAUUACAUGCCUCCCACCUGGAAGGACACCCCGUGAUACCCCAGCAGGACCUGAGCUUGCUCCACAAGGGUUAACAGCAGCACCAGCAACUGGAAUAAAGGC